This 556-nucleotide long non-coding RNA is filed under the name Gallus gallus (chicken). Its description in RNAcentral is "lncRNA (ENSGALG00010003373.1)". Lineage: Eukaryota; Metazoa; Chordata; Aves; Galliformes; Phasianidae. The record is from RNAcentral.
CCUGCAAGGACAACAUUAUUUGUUAGGUCAAGGAGACGGUUUUGCAGGACUUGUUUGUAUUCACCACCCUGUAGAUCCUGUCAGCCCUUACACGGGUAAAAGAAAGCUUUGACCGGAUGGUGCUUUAGCAGCUGUAUUCCCAUGACUAGAAAUAUCGAGCACUCUUUUUUGUCAUGCUCUGUCGAACACAUUAAUAACACGCUCGGUGCUGUUUCUAUCUCAUGAGCCCCUCAGGGUUCCUGACACUGAUGCCGCGAGGAAACAGAGCUGGCUGAAGUUCACUCACAAGGAGGAGAAAGGGAAAUAAAUUAAACCCAACUUUCCUUGGCAGCUGUGUUUGCAGAGGAAAAACACCACUUCAUCCCAAACACCAGUGCAAUCCCCAAAGAUGGUCGAUCUUGGGACCGGCGCUCUUCAACAUCUUCAUCAUUGACAAAGACGAUGGCAUCAAGUGCACCCUCAGCAAGUUUGCGGAUGACACCAAGCUCAGCGGUGCAGUCGAUACGUUGGAAGGAAGGGAAGCCAUCCAGAGGGACCUGGAGAGGCUGGAGAAGCA